GAUGAACGCUGGCGGCGUGCCUAAUACAUGCAAGUCGAGCGAACGGACGAGAAGCUUGCUUCUCUGAUGUUAGCGGCGGACGGGUGAGUAACACGUGGAUAACCUACCUAUAAGACUGGGAUAACUUCGGGAAACCGUAGCUAAUACCGGAUAAUAUUUUGAACCGCAUGGUUCAAAAGUGAAAGACGGUCUUGCUGUCACUUAUAGAUGGAUCCGCGCUGCAUUAGCUAGUUGGUAAGGUAACGGCUUACCAAGGCAACGAUGCAUAGCCGACCUGAGAGGGUGAUCGGCCACACUGGAACUGAGACACGGUCCAGACUCCUACGGGAAGCAGCAGUAGGGAAUCUUCCGCAAUGGGCGAAAGCCUGACGGAGCAACGCCGCGUGAGUGAUGAAGGUCUUCGGAUCGGAAAACUCUGUUAUUAGGGAAGAACAUAUGUGUAAGUAACUGUGCACAUCUUGACGGUACCUAAUCAGAAAGCCACGGCUAACUACGUG
This 497-nucleotide ribosomal RNA is filed under the name uncultured bacterium. RNAcentral describes it as "partial 16S ribosomal RNA". It matches the Rfam family "Bacterial small subunit ribosomal RNA", at positions 28 to 507 of the family's 1533-position model. The record is from RNAcentral.